UAACACAUGCAAGUCGAGCGAGAAAGCACUUCGGUGUGAGUACAGCGGCGGACGGGUGAGUAACGCGUAAGAAUCUACCUGGUAGUGGGGGACAACUCGGGGAAACUCGAGCUAAUACCGCAUACGCCCUACGGGGGAAAGCGGGGGACCUUCGGGCCUCGCGCUAUCAGAUGAGCUUGCGUUGGAUUAGCUAGUUGGUGGGGUAAAGGCCUACCAAGGCUACGAUCCAUAGCUGGUCUGAGAGGAUGAUCAGCCACAUCGGGACUGAGACACGGCCCGAACUCCUACGGGAGGCAGCAGUGGGGAAUAUUGGACAAUGG
RNAcentral lists this ribosomal RNA (320 nucleotides) under Schmidingerella taraikaensis. RNAcentral's name for it is "partial Bacterial small subunit ribosomal RNA". It matches the Rfam family "Bacterial small subunit ribosomal RNA", at positions 49 to 374 of the family's 1533-position model. The record is from RNAcentral. Lineage: Eukaryota; Ciliophora; Spirotrichea; Tintinnida; Rhabdonellidae.